Molecule: long non-coding RNA, 1845 nt
Organism: Daphnia pulex (common water flea)
Lineage: Eukaryota; Metazoa; Arthropoda; Branchiopoda; Diplostraca; Daphniidae
Exons: 3
Source: RefSeq, a predicted model, not a curated record
UGUUGUGGCACAUGUGGUCAUGUACUGAUGCAAAACGUGUUUGUUUUCCUGAAUCAAAACUCGUAGCAGUGCUCGUAGUUUCUGACAUUGAAAAUUCAACAGUUGAUUUUUAAUGAGUAUUGACAUUUGACCCCUCAUCCUAAAAUGACGAGAAUAGUUGUAAUAAAUCUUCCUCCCUCGGGGUCAGCACAGAAGAAACCUUCAGUCAAAAAGGACAAGUUACAGACGUUCAACUGAAAUAUGAUAAAGAUGGGAAAUUUCGACAUUUUGGCUUUGUUGGCUUCAAGAAUGAUGAUGAAGCAGAUUCAGCCUUGAGAUAUGUAACAACACAUUUGUAGGAUCCUGUAAAAUUCUAAAUUCAGGUUGAAAGAUAUGUCAAUUCAGGAAAUAGUUCUGAAGUGAAAAAAGAAAAAAGCCCUGGAAGCUAUUCCUGUCCAACUUCUUACACAGAGAGUGAAUCCAGUAAAAGGGGACAUCAAUAAAAUACCAGUAGAUCCAGAAUUUGCAGAAUUUCAGGAAUUACAUUCACAUAUUUCAUUUAUUAAAUGUAACACAUGUUACAUUUACACUGAACAUGUGGUUUUUUUUAUUAAAUUGCCAUGAGGUUGAACUAGACUUACUAUUAAUAAUUGGGAAUUCUUCCCAAGUGAAGAUUCUUUGUAAAAUAUGUGAUAUUGAAAUAGUUCCAAGGGACUGUUUACCCAUAGUUUAACUUUAUGCCUGUAUUAUUAUGCCCAUAUUAAUAUCUUUAUUUUUUAUAAUUUUAACAGUCUCUGACUAUGAGUGUCAGCCGGUUUGUUAGAGGUGUGAACAAGUCAGCAGUUGCAUUCAGUUUGUUGGGCUGCCAUUAUUAUCCUUGAAUGUGUUGGUUAUUCUGACCAAUAUCUUUAAGCAUCCAACACGGAAACCAGAAACAAUUCACAAAAAAGUAAUUACAUGUUUAUCAAUUUCUAAUGAAGAAAGCUACAGAUUAAGUAAAUGGGAGACCAUUCAGUAGAAAAGUCUAAUAAUCCAUUGUAUUUAGGCAACAAUGAUUGCAAUGUAGAUCUCUACGAAUAAGUUUCUAAUAGGGAAGAAUUUCAAACGAACGUUAACGAAUAAGUUUCUAAAGAGAAAGAAGAAAAUAACGGCUCGAUACUAUCAAAUCAAAGAAUGACAAAACCAGAGGAGAGACGCCGCAAAUGUUACUUGUCGCACAAGUCCUGGUGAUGGUGUCGCGUUUUGAUGGGUCUCAGGUGUCGUUAAAUUACAUUCCGACUUGUAACUACACCGACUUCGCAACCAGAUUCUUCGCCAUUUCCAAUUGGAAUGAUCAGUUUAGGUAAGUCAAAGUUUACUAGACAUUUCCAUGUAAACUUUCGCUCUACCACAAAUGUCGCACUGCCCAAUGUCGGAUGUUACUUUUGCUUCUGUGUUUGUACUUUUUUUCCAGUUAAGUUUUAUACGGUGAAAAUUUAGCCACGGUUUGAUUUUGAAAAGUGAUGAGGUAUUUCCACACCAUUUGACCAAGUUUAAUCGAAAGUGAACAACUCUAAGGCAUAUAAGUGAAUCGCUGGAGUUUUGACUUUUCGUAAGAUCAAUUUUUUAAUCUACUUCAAAUUAUUUUGUGAAAGCAUGCCGAAUAUCUUUUGCCUUUCUCCACGUGAUCGCUGCCGUGUCAUGACGAUGCUUCUUUGAGAGGGUCUCUACUAUAUUGCAAGACAAAAAUUUGCUGAGAACAGGAAGUCUGAGUUGAUUAUAAUGUACUGCAUUUUUAAGAUAAAUCAAGUAGGUAAGAAUAUUGCUUACAUUUUAGUCUACGUAUAUGAGCCUAAGAGUCGUACACUCGUACGUUUCUUCAGAAUU